This is a long non-coding RNA of Homo sapiens (human), 350 nucleotides long. Ensembl annotates it as long intergenic non-protein coding RNA 1651. The record is from Ensembl. Lineage: Eukaryota; Metazoa; Chordata; Mammalia; Primates; Hominidae.
UCAUAAGUCAUCCAGUGGGCUAGGCACGGUGGCUGACACCUAUAAUCCCCACACUUUGAGCCUGCCAAAGUGCCUUUUUUUGUGCCUUUCACAUAAAGACUAUGACACAGCUAAGCUAUUCAUGUACUAAUAAAUACCUGCCCUGAGCUGUGUGACCACGGACACCACCCUAUAAUGUGGCCAGUGUGUAGGAACUCUGCAGGCUCAGAUCAUUCCAGACAUACAUGCAGAUGUUGGAACUCCCUUGCACAGUGACUCAUGAUCCCAAGGCUGAGUGCUGAGGGCAGGAUUAACCUCAGCGAUUGUUGCUGGCAUCAGUGCAGCCCUGGGACCAGAGCACACCUGGGUGA